RNAcentral lists this ribosomal RNA (109 nucleotides) under Echinops telfairi (small Madagascar hedgehog). Lineage: Eukaryota; Metazoa; Chordata; Mammalia; Afrosoricida; Tenrecidae. The record is from RNAcentral.
GUCUAGGGCCAUUCCACCUUGAACGGGCUCCAUCUCUGAUCUCGGAAGCUAAGCAGGGGCGGGGUUGGUUAAUACCUGGGAUGGGAGAUCAGAGUCUGGUUGGCUGAUG